GUGUCAGCAGCCGCGGUAAUACAGAGGUCUCAAGCGUUGUUCGGAUUCAUUGGGCGUAAAGGGUGCGCAGGCGGUGGUGCAAGUUGGAUGUGAAAUCCCGGGGCUCAACCCUGGAACUGCAUUCAAUACUGCAUCGCUAGAGGACUGGAGAGGAGAUUGGAAUUCACGGUGUAGCAGUGAAAUGCGUAGAUAUCGUGAGGAAGACCAGUGGCGAAGGCGAAUCUCUGGACAGUUUCUGACGCUCAUGCACGAAGGCCAGGGGAGCAAACGGGAUUAGAUACCCCGGUAGUCCUGGCAGUAAACGGUGCACGUUUAGUAUGGGAGGAUUCGACCCCUUCCGUGCUGGAGCUAACGCGUUAAACGUGCCGCCUGGGGAGUACGGUCGCAAGAUUAAA
RNAcentral lists this ribosomal RNA (395 nucleotides) under uncultured bacterium. RNAcentral's name for it is "bacterial SSU rRNA". It matches the Rfam family "Bacterial small subunit ribosomal RNA", at positions 505 to 898 of the family's 1533-position model. The record is from RNAcentral.